UCCCCUGCCUUGCUGUCUUCAGUGAGUGAGUAACUGAAGGUUAGCAGAAUUCCUGGUUCUCCAGUAUGCUUAAUGCUUUUCUGUAAUAUGCUAUGGGUAAGAGAAUACCAGAUUUCUCACUAUAAUCAGACUACAUCAAGGUAACUGGUUUCAGGUAUCUGAAGCCUAUUAUAAUUGUGUGUGCAUAUGAGUGGAGAUCAGAUUCUCUUGCGUAUGAAAAAUGUGUGAAUCAUUAGUAGAUUUGAUUUCCAAAGGAAGAGUGGCCACCUGUACCUUUAGCAAAUGUUG
RNAcentral lists this long non-coding RNA (288 nucleotides) under Struthio camelus australis. RNAcentral describes it as "lncRNA (ENSSCUG00000000609.1)". Lineage: Eukaryota; Metazoa; Chordata; Aves; Struthioniformes; Struthionidae. The record is from RNAcentral.